Molecule: ribosomal RNA, 341 nt
Filed under: uncultured archaeon
Lineage: Archaea
Description: bacterial SSU rRNA
Rfam family: Archaeal small subunit ribosomal RNA
Source: RNAcentral
CCCGCCGGACCUGACUGCUAUCGGAUUGAUACUAAGCCAUGCGAGUCAUUGUAGCAAUACAAGGCAUACGGCUCAGUAACGCGUAGUCAACCUAACCUAUGGACGGGAAUAACCUCGGGAAACUGAGAAUAAUGCCCGAUAGAACACUAUACCUGGAAUGGUUUGUGUUCCAAAUGAUUUAUCGCCGUAGGAUGGGACUGCGGCCUAUCAGUUUGUUGGUGAGGUAAUGGCCCACCAAGACUAUUACAGGUACGGGCUCUGAGAGGAGUAGCCCGGAGAUGGGUACUGAGACACGGACCCAGGCCCUAUGGGGCGCAGCAGGCGAGAAAACUUUGCAAUGU